This 64-nucleotide transfer RNA is filed under the name Triatoma dimidiata (kissing bug). Its description in RNAcentral is "tRNA-Ile". The record is from RNAcentral. Lineage: Eukaryota; Metazoa; Arthropoda; Insecta; Hemiptera; Reduviidae.
AAUAAGGUGCCUGAUAAAAGGGUUAUCUUGAUAGGAUAGAUUAUGUAUUUAUUUACCCUUAUUA